Long non-coding RNA from Cucumis sativus (cucumber), 950 nucleotides. RefSeq lists it as uncharacterized. The transcript has 2 exons. The record is from RefSeq and is a predicted model, not a curated record. Lineage: Eukaryota; Viridiplantae; Streptophyta; Magnoliopsida; Cucurbitales; Cucurbitaceae.
UUUUAAACUUUGAUGAUGUGUAGGGUGUUUUUGUUUGUCUAUGCAUUUCCCAAGUGAACUUGAGUACUUUUGGUUUUUCUAUUGAUCUUUUGUUUAUGGUUACUAUUGAGUUGUAUAGUAAUUGCAUGAUAGUUAUAACAUAAACAACCUAUAUAUAUAAACUUGAACACAAGUGCUUAUUAUCUAACUCAUUACUAAAUUGUUGUAAUUUGGUUACUCUUGAUUUACUAAUAAUUGAAGAUUAAAAAAAGUUAUGAACAUUUUCACUAUGAGCAAGAAAUAAACUCUUUAUGUUGCUAAUGAAAUUAUCUUGAUUUAUAGGAAGCUCUGAUAAAUCAUCAAUUUAAGCAAUUGUUUUGGCCUUGUUAUAGUUGUGAAUUCUAUUUGGUUUGUUAUCUAUUUGGUUUUUGACUUUAAGUUUUUUAAACUUAAGCCUAUACACGUUUUUUUUACCUCUACUUUUUAUUAAUGUUUUUAAAAUUAGGCCAAAUUAGUGUUUCUGAAACUGUCAUUAUUAUAUGUGCUAUAAGUCUUAAAGAAGUUACUCGUACAGAGAGAGAAGCAUUACAUGCUAGAAAACAAAGAUUCUAGUGACGCCCAUUAUAUAGUUCCAGACUUGGAGAGUUGGUUACACAGAAAGAAAAUUAGCAAAGACAGUGCAAGCGUUGGAGAUGAGCCCAUUUUUAAGGGGUCGUUUGAAACACAAAGGAAGAGACAAGAAUACGAAGGCUUUCUACCCUUUAUUUUGCAUUGGUAUGAUUGGGACGUGGUGCAAAUAGUGGAUAUAUGUACGUACGGUCUGUGCAAAGAAAAAAAAUUGCUUUCUCGUAUGUUUGUAAGAAAUGGUUUAUAUUAUUUAAACUAUAAUUUCUAUUGUCAUCGCUAUUGCUUAAACAACUGUGAAGACAAAAAAAAGAGGAAUGGGUAAAGUUAACUUUCGUUGGCAUAAA